GUCAAAGCAGCUCAGUUGGGCGAGUAUUAGACUGAAGAUUUAAAGGUCCCCGGUUCAAUCCCAGGCUUUGGCA
RNAcentral lists this transfer RNA (73 nucleotides) under Pelodiscus sinensis (Chinese soft-shelled turtle). It matches the Rfam family "tRNA". Rfam says of the family: Transfer RNA (tRNA) molecules are approximately 80 nucleotides in length. Their secondary structure includes four short double-helical elements and three loops (D, anti-codon, and T loops). Lineage: Eukaryota; Metazoa; Chordata; Testudines; Trionychidae. The record is from Rfam by way of RNAcentral.